UUAUUCUCGGUUUGAUAAAUACGGUAUAGUAUGGUUUAAUACGUGUUAUUUAGAAGAGAGAUUAUGGUAAUGGUUUAGCGCGUAUAAUGCACGGGUUUUGUGUGCAUGUUUUAGCGCGAAAGCGCACGAGUUUUUCGUUUUGGGGUAUAUAUGAUUUGCACAUCUAAUGAGACGCCAUUCGAGGGUUGUUUUUGACAGGCAAAGUUAUGGAGCAAGAAAACGAAAGGGUGAUAAAGUAGUUUAGGCGUUCAUUUGCGAAAUACAUAGUAUUUGGAAGGAGAUUUUCGAUGAGAGGACUGAUUCUCUGCUAGAAGCGGAAUGGUGAGCUGGAACUUCGAACAAAGGUCAGACUUGUUGGUUCUGUUUAUUGUAAUAACACUGGCAACAACAUUCCGAUUGAAAUUAACACAGGUUGUGUUCCGUGUUAACUUUUAUGAUAAGUAUAUUCAAUAACAUGCUCCAUAUCUUUAUUUGUGCUGUUGUUUUUGUUUAGUUCCAAUUAUUCAGAUACAUCAAUUGAUUUGAUUAUUGGGUAAAAAUGAAACUAUUUAAGUUCAAAAAGAGGUCGCAAAUGUAAUGGUCUGGUAGGAUUAUAUAUAGGUAAGGCCACAUAGUGUGUCACUCCAGGUUGUUUUGAUAGCAGAGUUAGAUCACUCUCCCUCAUGUUUUUACGAACACCUUGCUUUAUUUUUAUUGUUUAUAAGAUAUAACACCUUAUAUGGUAAUACAUGUGUUACAAGUUUGUGUAUUAGUUCCAAGCGUAUAAUUCAACAAACGAUUAAUAACAAUUAAAUGCCGUUUUCCUUAUAAUUCAGCUAGAUGGUUGUGUGCGAUAUAUGACGUGGUAUGAUAAUGAGCGGAUAAAAAUUUAUGCGAACAUAUCUUUAAACUAUUCAGGUAUUCCAAUUGUGAAUUAAGAAUGAAACAUCAAAAAUCGAUACAUUACGGAAAUAUAUAUUCCGGGGGCAGCUCGAAAGGUAUAAUUUGUUUGUUUUUUUGUGUAACUAUGUGUUAGAAAAUAACUUGUUAAGAUUAAUAAUGAUGAUUUCAUUGAUGAUGAUGUUAUAAAUGUUGAUGAUGAUGCUAACGUUAUUGAUGAGGAGGAGGAAUAGUUGACAGUAUUUUGUGAAUGGAUAAUACUACAUUAACGAAUUUUUAGUGAAUGAAAUUAUUUUAGGUUUGAUAAAUACCGAAUGAUGUUGGUCUAUACAUAUUAUUUAGAAGAGAAAGUGAGUAUGGUUAUGGUUUAGCACGUAAAAAUGAAUGAGUUUCUAGGUUUUGCGUUUAAUUGACAAAAACAAGUAACGGUUCAGCAACAGGGAUUAUUCUCAGAUGGUACAUGUAUUCCUUUUAGAGUCACAGAAAUUCAACUUUGCAUCAAUACCGGUUUCUUUGAGAUUUGUUUGAUGGGUUAAAAUUCCAAAAAUUGACGAGUUUUGCAGCCGACCAAGUACCUAUAGCUUUGUAUUUGAGUGUGUUAAGCAUUUUGUUGUUUUCAAAUUAGUAAAUCAAAAUUAAUACGGUGUUCUAGUAUAUCAAUUGAGCUUAUGCUAUUGCCAUGGAAAUUUGAGCCAGGGUUCGAUCAGUAGCUUAAAGUUUGUCUGUGUUGGUGAAUUGAACCUUUAAACAAAUGUCAAGUCGGUAAUUUUAAUUUUAAGAGCAGAACAUACGUAUUGAUUGUGAGAACAUUAGUAAAAUGUGUUUGGUAUUUGUGCAUGUCUCUUGUGGUCAUUGGACCAAGUUGUUUAAGGCCAAUUGGCCUGAUUUUGAAAGCCAGUUGGCUUGUACGGUCAGUUGACCGUUUUUAAAGCCAGUCUAUAUGGUGUGUGAAAGCCUGUUGGCUUGUGUUGUCAGGUUACCGAACUUUCUUGGAACGAAAGUCUCAUAGAAUUUACAAUAUUUGCAAACUUAUUGUUUGCAAUGCAGUAACUGGACAGUUCGAAUAGUAUAUUAAGUAUUGAAGAACAUAAAGGUAUGGUUUAUGUAGUAUGUUAUUAUUAUUACUAUGAUUAUUAUGAUGUAUUUUAUUUGGGUGCAUUCGGAAAAUUGCAAAGCCGGUAGUUAAAAGGAGCCUAUUACAUCAGAUAUAUUAAAGAAAUUUUAUCACACUUGUUUCUGAGAGCGAUUGUUCUUUGGGGUAUUUAAGAGGCGUUACAAUCUUUUUCUUAUUUUAUGCUGUUUUUUUUUUUUUUUUUUUUUUUUUUUUUUUAGGAUAAGUGAAAUUUUGUCUGUUAAAAGAUCAAAUGUUGUAUUUUUAGAUACGCAUUGUGAUAUUAAAGUUGAAAAGUCAAAAACGGACAUUUUAAGAGAGGGUAAUACUGUUCUGAUUGCAAAAACUAAUACAGACACAUGUCCUGUGAAAUUGUUUGAAAAGUAUUUGUGUUGCAGAUAUUGCAUGUUCAUCUACUGAUAAUGUGUUAAGACCAGUUUAUUUGUGUAAUGUUAAACACUGUUUCAAAUUGAUUUCUAAUAAUAAGCAUAUAAGUUAUUCUACUAUAAAUGAUAGUUUUAAGAAGAAGUUAAGUCUAUUGGGUUAUGUUUCUUCUAAAUAUGGACUUCAUUCUUUUCGCUGGUGGAGCAUCUAUAAGUGCCAAUAAUAAGACUGUGGAUACACUUUGGCAAAGACAUGGUAGAUGAAAAAGUGUUUCCACUAAGGACGGAUAUGUUAAAGAUUCUUUGAAAGACAGAUUAUCGGUGUCGCUAAAUUUAGAUUUGUGAAAAGUCAUUAUUAAUGUAUGUGCGAUUUGAAAUGUAUGAUGUGUUGUUCGUAGCACAUUUAAAGACACUAUAAUAUAUUAUUAUAUAAAUGGUUUGGAAAUGCUUUUGAGUAUUAUUAAGUUCUGUGUUUGUGUUGUGUGUAUGUUUCCUUGUGGUCAUUGGACCAAUUUGUUUACGGCCAUUUGGCCUGAUUUGGUAAGCCAGUUGGCUUGUAUGGUCAGUUGACCGUUUUUUAAAGCAAGUUGAUGUGAUGUGUGAAAGCCGGUUGGCUUUUGUGAGUUGAACUUAUUUUCUUAAAAAGCAUGUUCACAUGGAAUUAACAAUCUUUGCAAGUUUAUUUUUUGCAGUGCAGUAACUGGACAGUACGAAUGGUAUAUUAAGUAUUGGAGAACAUAAAGUUAAAACACAGUUCGAGAGGUAUAUAACGUGGUGGAGAAUAUUUAGGUAUUCAUUUUAUGUUUUAUAUUAUUUGUAUUCUCUCUUUGUUUUAUUCGAAAGUCCUGUCAAAUACAAGCACUCACUCCUAUUUUGUCUUUGGUUUAUUAUUUGUUUGAUAAUGAUAAUGAUGAUGAUAUGGGUUAUAAAGAUGAUGAGAUUUUAAUAGUAUUUUGAGAAUAGAGAAUAAUAAAUUUACUCAUAACUAUGAGUAAAUGAAAUUAUUCUCGGUUUGAUAAAUACGGUAUAGUAUGGUUUAAUACGUGUUAUUUAGAAGAGAGAUUAUGGUAAUGGUUUAGCGCGUAUAAUGCACGGGUUUUGUGUGCAUGUUUUAGCGCGAAAGCGCACGAGUUUUUCGUUUUGGGGUAUAUAUGAUUUGCACAUCUAAUGAGACGCCAUUCGAGGGUUGUUUUUGACAGGCAAAGUUAUGGAGCAAGAAAACGAAAGGGUGAUAACCCCGCCCGCCCGCCCUUAAUGAACAUAUGUUUGGUUAAAUAAUUGGUUACAUUGCUUUUAUGUUUAUAAUUUUGCAAUUAUAAAGUCUAUAUUUAGUAUAUUUUCAGUUCGGUUUUUAGUCCAUGUGAGAUGGGAUCUUAACACAAACCGAUUCCUUUACUGGGAAAGACGAUGGGUGUAUUUUCAUUUAAGUCUGAAGCAGCUAAGUUUUCUGGAUUAUUUUGACUCAUUUUUUACUUAAUAUUGUGUUUGAAUGAGGUUUUUUAAGUUAUGGGUGUCAUGUUUUUCGAGACUCUCACUUCCUGGAGAUAGUUCCUCCAGCAUUUUUAUUGAAAUAUUGGUAUGUUUAAAUUUCAGUGUUAUUAUUUUUUGUUGUCUUUCGUAAUGAACGUUUAAUUUUAAAGACAUUCUUAUUGUACGAUUACUUAAUAUUUUCAUUUUGGUGUGACUGGUUAGAUGUUGAAGUCGGUUUAAUAUAGCUGUUCGUCAUAUGCAUUUAUAUAUUUCUCGGAAUACUUAUGAUUUAUCAACAUUCUUUUUAGGUGCUUUAUGGAUUUUAUGGUUUGAGUGAUUUGUUUGUUUUUAUGUUGAUGUCCGGGGUGUGUGCGGGAUGCUUUUGAUGUUUGUUUGUUAUGUUAAUUUGCGCAAUGAAAUUGAUAAUGUUUUAAUUACAUUUUUUACUAAAUAAUACUUAAUGUUUACAGUAUAAUAAUAGCUGCUUAUUUGUAGAUUUCUCUAAAAUUAGAGGUUUCGGGAGGUGAUGAAGGCACCUAGACACCGGUCUCGAGCCAUGGGUCCUCAUACGUCCCCCUGCCAUUAAAAGAAAAAAAAAAAAAUAAGAAAACAAAAAUGGCAGUAGGGUUGCGUAUCCCGCUCGCGGUUUUACCUGAAUCGUUUAUUACUACUGAUUAUUGUAUGGGGUGUACGUGAAGUCAUGUACACUUCUCUUGAUUGGUGGUGAUGGAUGAAUCUUGCAGAUAUUAGCAGCUUCUUUGAACAAAUUAAUGUUUCACAAUUGUUAAUUUAUAAUAUUUAAGCAAAUUAGCGUGAUUGAUGGGCAUUGUGGGCGUCCUGUGUGCACUUUGGGCAUCGGCCGGGAUCAGUUUAUUCAAACAGUAACUCUUUAUUUUAGAUAUAUACAUGACGUCUAAUUGUUAUGAAUAAAUUUGCAUUUUUUCACAUGACACACAUGUGCAUGUGAAGAAUUCAUAAUUACAUGCCCUACAGCAUUUAAAUAGUAUCGUUUCAGUUCUUUAUACACCUGAACAAAGAUGUUACACUGUUUCCAGUCGUCUCGAGGCUCAUCAAUUGAGCGGUGCCGUUGAGGUCUAUAUCCAUUGCACAUACAACACAUACGGGCGUCAGAAGAAUUGUUUUUUGCAUUUAUAUGUUGAAAGUCCUGUCAAAUACAAGCACUCACUCCUA
Long non-coding RNA from Dreissena polymorpha, 5034 nucleotides. RefSeq lists it as uncharacterized. Lineage: Eukaryota; Metazoa; Mollusca; Bivalvia; Myida; Dreissenidae. The transcript has 2 exons. The record is from RefSeq and is a predicted model, not a curated record.